GCCAGUGUGGCAUAGUGGUUUGUGUAUCAGAAUACAACUCUGGAGAUCAGGGUUUGAUUCCCUGCUUGGCCA
Phrynosoma platyrhinos (Desert horned lizard) is the source of this 72-nucleotide non-coding RNA. The record is from the annotation of a GenBank genome assembly. Lineage: Eukaryota; Metazoa; Chordata; Lepidosauria; Squamata; Phrynosomatidae.